This 832-nucleotide ribosomal RNA is filed under the name uncultured bacterium. RNAcentral's name for it is "bacterial SSU rRNA". It matches the Rfam family "Bacterial small subunit ribosomal RNA", at positions 28 to 898 of the family's 1533-position model. The record is from RNAcentral.
AUUGAACGCUGGCGGCAGGCUUAACACAUGCAAGUCGAGCGGGCACCUUCGGGUGUCAGCGGCGGACGGGUGAGUAACGCGUGGGAACGUGCCCUCUGGUUCGGAAUAACUCAGGGAAACUUGAGCUAAUACCGGAUACGCCCUUUUGGGGAAAGGCUUGCUGCCGGAGGAUCGGCCCGCGUCUGAUUAGCUAGUUGGUGAGGUAAUGGCUCACCAAGGCUUCGACGGGUAGCCGGCCUGAGAGGGCGACCGGCCACACCGGGACUGAGAUACGGCCCAGACUCCUACGGGAGGCAGCAGUGGGAAUAUUGCACAAUGGGCGAAAGCCUGAUGCAGCAACGCCGCGUGCGGGAUGACGGCCUUCGGGUUGUAAACCGCUUUCAGUAGGGACGAAGCUAACGUGACGGUACCUACAGAAGAAGCACCGGCCAACUACGUGCCAGCAGCCGCGGUGAUACGUAGGGUGCAAGCGUUGUCCGGAAUUAUUGGGCGUAAAGGGCUCGUAGGCGGUCCAUCGCGUCGGGAGUGAAAAGCUGGGGCUCAACCCCAGUCCUGCUUCCGAUACGGGUGGACUAGAGGUAUGCAGGGGAGAACGGAAUUCCUGGUGUAGCGGUGAAAUGCGCAGAUAUCAGGAGGAACACCGGUGGCGAAGGCGGUUCUCUGGGCAUUACCUGACGCUGAGGAGCGAAAGCGUGGGGAGCAAACAGGAUUAGAUACCCUGGUAGUCCACGCCGUAAACGUUGGGCGCUAGGUGUGGGGGACAUUCCACGUCCUCCGUGCCGCAGCUAACGCAUUAAGCGCCCCGCCUGGGGAGUACGGCCGCAAGGCUAAA